UGUACCCAUGCCGAACACAGUAGUUAAGCCCUAGAACGCCUGAAGUAGUUGGGGGUUGCCCCCUGUGAGAUACGGAAGUUGCUUAGC
RNAcentral lists this ribosomal RNA (87 nucleotides) under Streptococcus equi. The record is from RNAcentral. Lineage: Bacteria; Bacillati; Bacillota; Bacilli; Lactobacillales; Streptococcaceae.